GCAUAUGUCCAAAGAGCAAAUUUACACAGUCUACGUGCAUGCUCUGCCUUCCUGGCAGGGCGGCCAUCACCUUCCCGAUCCAAGAUGAAAAGGAGAGAGAAAUCCAACGGAGGUAAAACCAAAAAAAAAAAUCGAAAGCAAAAUACCUUGUUCGUUUACAAUAUAUGUACAACUGCUAGCUUGGCGAAGUAUAGUAAACUACCGCGCGAACAGAACAGAACAAACCAUGCAUGCAUGCGCGGCGCGGAGGUACGGUGGCACAGCACGCAUGGAUCUCCCUGGGCCCUGGGCUGGCUAGUAGUUCUCCGGUAUGAUGGAGAGCCGCGGGCUCCACGCGCCUCGGCACGGGCUCAUCGUGACGCCGCCGCCGUCGAGUUCGAUGCUGCUGCCGACCUCCGCCUCCACCCCGGCGCCGCGCUGCCGCUCCAGCCUCGCCACCAGCUGCGCGAUGUCCUUCCUCUUCAUCACGAUCCUCACCAGCACCCCGCCGUCCUCGCCGUGGCCGGCGGCGGCCGGCGCCUCCACGCGGCACUCGGGCCACGCCUCCCGCUCCCGCUCCCAGCCGCUGUCGCCGUCGCCGUCCUCCGGCGCGUCCACGACCGGCACCACGUGUCUGGGCCGUGCAGCUCUGACGACGACGCUCCUGCCGCUGCUGCUGUCAGCAGGCCUCCGCUGCUUCCUGAUCCUCUUCCUGAUCUUGGCGCCUGCUCCGACCUCGUUGACCACGCCGUCGCAGCAGUGGCAAACGCAUGGCAGCAGAAGGCUGUUGCCCAUGUCUCG
RNAcentral lists this unclassified non-coding RNA (780 nucleotides) under Zea mays. Its description in RNAcentral is "misc RNA Zm00001eb295240". The record is from RNAcentral. Lineage: Eukaryota; Viridiplantae; Streptophyta; Magnoliopsida; Poales; Poaceae.